CAAAGGCCUGGUCCUGACUUUAAUAUCAGUUUUAACCCAAAUUAUACAUGCAAGUACCCGCACCCCCGUGAGAAUGCCCCUCAUCCCCCCACCGGGGAAAGGGAGCCGGCAUCAGGCACACCCUUAGGUAGCCCAAAACGCCUUGCUAAGCCACACCCCCAAGGGAACUCAGCAGUAAUUAAUAUUAAGCCAUAAGCGAAAGCUUGACUUAAUUAGAGUUAAUUAAGGGCCGGUAAAACUCGUGCCAGCCACCGCGGUUAUACGAGAGGCUCAAAUUGAUGCUCCACGGCGUAAAGCGUGAUUAAAGAAAAUAAAUACUAAAGCCGAACACCUCCUUAGCUGUUAUACGCCCAAAGAGGCACGAAGUUCUACAACGAAAGUAGCUUUAACCAAAAACCUUGAACUCACGAAAAUUAAGAAACAAACUGGGAUUAGAUACCCCACUAUGCUUAAUCGUAAACAAUGAUGGAAGCCUACAAAUACCAUCCGCCAGGGAACUACGAACAUUAGUUUAAAACCCAAAGGACUUGGCGGUGCUUCAAACCCCCCUAGAGGAGCCUGUCCUAUAAUCGAUAAUCCCCGUUUAACCUCACCACUCCUUGCCAACUCAGUUUAUAUACCACCGUCGCCAGCUUACCCCGUGAGGGCACAACAGUAAGCUAAAUGGGCCUCCACCCAGUACGUCAGGUCAAGGUGUAGCGAAUGCAGUGGGAAGAGAUGGGCUACAUUUUCUGAAACAGAAUACCACGAAAGGUGUCAUGAAACAAACACAAUUGAAGGUGGAUUUAGCAGUAAAAAGAAGACAGAGAACCCUUUUGAAACUGGCUCUGAAGCGCGUACAUACCGCCCGUCACCCUCCUUUAGCCACAAACAAAAAAUUUAUAAAAACCUAAAAAACAAAAAAUGGAGGCAAGUCGUAACAUGGUAAGUGUACCGGAAGGUGCACUUGGGAAAAU
RNAcentral lists this non-coding RNA (956 nucleotides) under Xyrias revulsus. RNAcentral describes it as "12S ribosomal RNA". It matches the Rfam family "Bacterial small subunit ribosomal RNA". The record is from RNAcentral. Lineage: Eukaryota; Metazoa; Chordata; Actinopteri; Anguilliformes; Ophichthidae.